AACGCGAAGAACCUUACCUGGGUUUGACAUACACCGGAAAGCUGCAGAGAUGUAGCCCCUUUUAGUCGGUGUACAGGUGGUGCAUGGCUGUCGUCAGCUCGUGUCGUGAGAUGUUGGGUUAAGUCCCGCAACGAGCGCAACCCUCGUCCUAUGUUGCCAGCAAUUCGGUUGGGGACUCAUAGGAGACUGCCGGGGUCAACUCGGAGGAAGGUGGGGAUGACGUCAAGUCAUCAUGCCCCUUAUGUCCAGGGCUUCACGCAUGCUACAAUGGCCGGUACAAAGGGCUGCGAUCCCGCGAGGGUGAGCGAAUCCCAAAAAGCCGGUCUCAGUUCGGAUUGGGGUCUGCAACUCGACCCCAUGAAGUCGGAGUCGCUAGUAAUCGCAGAUCAGCAACGCUGCGGUGAAUACGUUCCCGGGCCUUGUACACACCG
Molecule: ribosomal RNA, 431 nt
Filed under: Nocardioides albus
Lineage: Bacteria; Bacillati; Actinomycetota; Actinomycetes; Propionibacteriales; Nocardioidaceae
Description: bacterial SSU rRNA
Rfam family: Bacterial small subunit ribosomal RNA
Source: RNAcentral